UCUGGAAACUGUNUGACUUGAGUGCAGAAGGGGAGAGUGGAAUUCCAUGUGUAGCGGUGAAAUGCGUAGAUAUAUGGAGGAACACCAGUGGCGAAAGCGGCUNUCCGGUCUGUCACUGACGCUGAGGCUNGAAAGCGUGGGUAGCGAACAGGAUUAGAUACCCUGGUAGUCCACGCCGUAAACGAUGAGUGCUAGGUGUUAGGCCCUUUCCGGGGCUUAGUGCCGGAGCUAACGCAAUAAGCACUCCGCCUGGGGAGUACGACCGCAAGGUUGAAACUCAAAGGAAUUGACGGGGGCCCGCACAAGCGGUGGAGCAUGUGGUUUAAUUCGAAGCAACGCGAAGAACCUUACCAGGUCUUGACAUCCCGAUGCUAUUCUUAGAGAUAGGAAGUUACUUCGGUACAUCGGAGACAGGUGGUGCAUGGUUGUCGUCAGCUCGUGUCGUGAGAUGUUGGGUUAAGUCCCGCAACGAGCGCAACCCUUAUUGUUAGCUGCCAUCAUUAAGUUGGGCACUCUAGCGAGACUGCCGGUAAUAAACCGGAGGAAGGUGGGGAUGACGUCAAAUCAUCAUGCCCCUUAUGACCUGGGCUACACACGUGCUACAAUGGUCGGUACAACGAGUUGCGAGCCGGUGACGGCAAGCUAAUCUCUGAAAGCCGAUCUCAGUUCGGAUUGGAGGCUGCAACUCGCCUCCAUGAAGUCGGAAUCGCUAGUAAUCGCGGAUCAGCACGCCGCGGUGAAUACGUUCCCGGGCCUUGUACACACCGCCCGUCACACCACGAGAGUUUGUAACACCCGAAGUCGGUGAGGUANCCUUUUAGGG
This 823-nucleotide ribosomal RNA is filed under the name uncultured bacterium. RNAcentral's name for it is "bacterial SSU rRNA". It matches the Rfam family "Bacterial small subunit ribosomal RNA", at positions 625 to 1447 of the family's 1533-position model. The record is from RNAcentral.